GCGGUGGCAGGCGGCGGGCCCCAGCGAGGGCCGCGGGCCUUUUUUGUGAAUGAAGCGCAGGGGAUCGUCGUCCAGGGGUCCCGAGCGCCGCGACGCGUGUAGCUCGUCCGCGCGGCUCCAUCAGCCGCCGCAGCAGCAGCAGCGUCUGCGGCCGGGGGUGGUGGUGGCGUCGUGCGUGUGGCGGGGCCGGCCCGGGCCAUGGUGGCGGCACCCUGACUCGCGGCCGCCUCCAUGAAGCGGAAGGGCGAGCGGCGGCCGGGAUGGGCCGCGCCCCCCUGCUCUCUCCGCUGUUCUGCGGCCCCGCGCUCACGGAAGAGGAGCCGCCGCGCGGAGUCGCAUGAGGACCUGUACCUGGACGUCACCGAUCGCCUUUGCUUUGCCAUUCUCUACAGCAGACCAAAGAGUGCAUCAAAUGAACAUUAUUUCAGCAUAGAUAAUGAACUUGAAUAUGAGAACUUCUACGCAGAUUUUGGACCACUCAAUCUGGCAAUGGUUUACAGAUACUGUUGCAAGAUAAAUAAGAAACUAAAGUCCAUUACAAUGAUGAGGAAGAAAAUUAUUCAUUUUACUGGCUGUGAUCAAAGAAAACAAGCUAAUGCUGCUUUCCUUAUUGGAUGCUAUAUGGUUAUAUAUUUGGGGAGAACUCCAGAAGAUGCAUAUGGACUCUUAAUCUUUGGAGAUACAUCCUAUAUUCCUUUCAGAGAUGCUGCCUAUGGAAGUUGCAGCUUCUACAUUACACUUCUUGACUGUUUUCAUGCAGUAAAGAAGGCAAUGCAGUAUGGCUUCUUUAAUUUCAACACAUUUAACCUUGAUGAAUACGAACACUAUGAAAAAGCAGAAAAUGGAGAUUUAAAUUGGAUUAUACCAGACCUAUUUCUUGCCUUCUGUGGACCUUAUUCAAGAUCCAGACUUGAAAGUGGUUACCACCGACAUUCUCCGGAGACUUACAUUCCGUAUUUUAAGAGUCACAAUGUUACAACCAUUAUUCGUCUCAAUAAAAGGAUGUAUGAUGCUAAGCGCUUUACGGACGCUGGUUUCGAUCACCAUGAUCUUUUCUUUGCGGAUGGUAGCACCCCAACGGAUGCCAUCGUCAAAGAGUUCCUGGAUAUUUGUGAGAACGCUGAGGGUGCCAUUGCAGUACAUUGUAAAGCUGGCCUUGGUCGGACUGGCACCCUCAUUGCCUGCUACAUAAUGAAGCACUACCGAAUGACUGCAGCUGAGACCAUCGCAUGGGUCAGGAUCUGUAGGCCCGGGUCAGUGAUUGGGCCUCAGCAGCAGUUUCUAGUCAUGAAACAAGCUAGCCUCUGGCUGGAAGGUGACUGUUUUCGUCAGAAGUUAAGGGGGCAGGAGAAUGGACCACACAGAACUGCCUUCUCCAAACUCCUCUCAGGGGUUGAUGACAUUUCAAUAAAUGGAGUCGAAAAUGAAGACAAGCAGGAACCUGAACCGUUCAGUGAUGACGACGAAGUCACUGGAGUCACACAAGGUGAUAGACUUCGAGCCCUGAAAAGCAGAAGACAAUCAAAAACACAUGCUAUCCCCCUCACAUGCCCCCUAGCUGUGCUGGCCUCUGCGCUGGGUAGCGUUGCCAUGUGGUGGAUUAUGUGUGACUACAUCCUCCCCAUCCUGCUCUUCUGUCUCGAUGGUUUCAGAGCACGGUAGCCAUCAGGACCCUUGGGCAGAUAGCUGCUGUAGUAAUUCUUCAGUCCAGUGUUCAGAGCUGUAAAACAUCUGAACCUAACAUUUCUGGCAGUGCAGGCAUUACUAAAAGAACCACCAGAUCUGCUUCGAGGAAAAGCAGUUUUAAAAGUCCCUCCAUUUCAAGGACCAAAACAGUUUUGCGUUAAGUAAAAACUCGUGACCACAACUGAAGAAAGAUUCUAGGAACAGAAAACUCUAACAGGACUUAGGAGUUUAUUUGAGAACAAAACAAACUGCAGAAGCCUUAGUUGCUUCCACCUAAGAAAUUUACUCACUGAAGAAAACGUCUGCUGGAGUCGCAGUAGCGCUCGGAGUUUGGGUGUGAAAGAAGACUUGAAGGGCCCAACUUGCCAUUUUUGCAGAAUCGUCUCAAGCCAAAUGAGGAAAUGGUGUUGUAAUUUAGUCUCAGGUGUAAGUGCUGCAGCCCCCUGCCAUCUGGAGAGCUGAUGAGUUCAGUGGCCCAUGUGUCCCCACGGUGGCGGUUGUGCUCUCUGCUGGCAUUCAGAAGAGCCGAGGAUCUGAUGGAGGUUUCGUACGUAUUUAUUUUCUAUUCGCUCUGUGACCCUCUGUGGAAAUUUGUAAAGAUAAACCAGGAUUUACUGAAAUGGUACUUCCUGUCAUCGGACACUAUUGGGUUUCAUCUCUUUGCUCUUUGUGAUACUGUUGUCACGUUUACUCUGUGAAGUACCCAAGCUGCUUGUCUUCCACCAAAGAGUGCUUUAUGAACAUGAAUCUGUGAAGACCAUGUGAAAACACUGUUGCAUGCUGUAAUGCCAAAUGGUACUGUGCUCACCUAAGACUUGUCAGACAAUAUUCAUAGAAGCUUUAGAAGACUUCAGGGGAGAAACUGGUCUCAGAGUUGGAAGAUUCUUGCCAAGUCCUUCCUUUCUCAUCACUUAGGAACUACAAAAUAGCAAGGCUGUGCAUUACUGGGUUGCCAGUCACACAAAGUCUAGUCAGAUUGCCUGCUAUGCAUAUAGGGGGAGCUGCCCACUGUUGGUUUUUACCCUUUGAAACAGCAAUCCCAAAUAAUGGUGGCUUUAAAAACAAAAAUGUUAACACUUGUUUUAGAAUCCUUUUCUCUAAACACUGUGGAUUUUUUUUUUCUUUUGUGAUCAGUCUAGGGCCAUUCAUAUACUCUGAUUUCACCGACGAUUACUUGCUUUUGGAUUUUGGUUUGUAGUAAGAGUGAACUCACUGUUGCCUUUGGUUAGGGAAUCCAACUAGUAACUCUUUGCAGCGUGCCUUCUCCCCUUCCCCUUCCUGAAACUCAGCAGGGCUGUGACAUAAGCAAUCACAAAACAGUUUAUCUGCUGCUAAAAACAAAAACCAGGGCCCAUAGUUAAAGACUGUUUUGCAGAUCCCUUGUUCCUGCCAUCCAGGGCUUUCCUAGGAAGCCAUGUCCUGUUUACCAGGUCUGGCCUGUGCUUGUCUGGGAACUGGAGUGUGCCAGAGGGUAGGGCCUUCCCAUGACCAGAUGAAUGUAUCAAGACCCUGCUGACCAGGCUUCUUGCAUUUGGAGCAAAGUAAAGUCUGUUUACCCAAAAAGGAACUGGAAGACAGUGGUUCUCUGUUUCAGUGUUAUACCCUUUGGGUGAAGUGUGUCAGUGACUGGCUUGGAGAAGGGCAGCUCUGCCCAGCAGGCCAUGUGAGUCACCCUGAACCAGCAUUUAAACAUUAGGGGCUGAAUGUAGGUGUAAGAGUUGGGUAGGAGGAGGAACAUACCACUGUGCCGGGAGACAAAAUGUUCACACUGUGCCCAAGCAUAAAAUCCUGAUUCUUAGGGCAUCCUUUAGAGGCCCGCUGCUCCAUAGCUUAUGCAGGUGGGUGUGAAGACCACACUGCCUUCUGAGCCGUGUGUGGCUUGGCUUUCUCUUAGGUUGGAGCUAGGAAGCACAUCCCUGUUGUGGCCCCCUUCCCGGUCUGACCUAUCCCAGUGAGUGGGCUGUGUGGGGUCUUGGCCAAGAGUAAAAUCUUUGGCCCUUAGUGAUAACCACUGUGCUUUUUUUUUGUUUUAUAGAUUGCCUUGUGUUGGCUGCUGAAGUUUCCAGCUAGAAUUGUUGUUAUCACUGUGGCUCUUGUUAAAUAUCCCUGUAUCUAACAAGCUCGCGCAAGUUAGUCAUAGGAAACUUGUAAUUUGGUGAAGACCAUUCCAUUCCUUGGAGUAGGCAGAUAGUCAGGGACAGCACUUCGGAUGGGUUUCGGGGGUCUGACUAAUGGAAAGUCCUUCGUACUAUGAGUAAGAGCAGACUCCCCACCAGCUGAAACCACAGAACACUCCACGUCCUCUAGGAGUCUGACUCAGUUCUUGUUACACAUGACCCUGUUGCUGUUGGAUCUGAAACAGUGCCUGUCAGAUGGAGAGGUUCCUUUAACUUAAGACCUUAAAUAGUAUCGAAAGUCCACCCAAACCACUUCCAGUGGAAUUAAAAUUAGAAAUGAAUAUUUAUAGGGGCCGGGGAUUUAGUUCAGUUAUUCAGAUGAUCCCCGAUUCAAAAAAAAAAGGAAAUGAAUAUUUAUAGGUGCCCUUGAAACUUUCUGGGGAUUCAGAUCAUCAAGAGACAGAAAGUCCAAGGGAGGUGUGUGCACCUGUGAAGUGGGGUUCCUGGAAGUACAGAGGGUCCUCUGUCACAUGACAAACAGCAGGGAAGAGCAAUGGCAGGGAGCGAGCAGUGCCUCCUCCAGAGGUGACCUUACUCGGCCAGUGUGGCUGGACCCCAGCCACACGUGGCUCUGCCUAUGUCCCAGUUUUCCAGGUGUAAACUCGAUGCCCUGAAGCCAGCUCUCCUGCUCCAUACCCCACCAGGGAGUGGUGUCUGCUUUUGGCUUGGGCCCAAAUGCGUCUUAGCAGUGUCCCCAACUGUUCUCUAGAGGCCAUUGUGUUUGACUGGGUCUCCGGUUGUCUCGAGCCAGCUAUCCUGGGGCCACCCCUUCGUUUGAAUUGCCAAGCUUGACAAAUAACCAGUGCAGCCAUUGGGUGUUUGUUCUAAGGGUAGCUCGGCUGCCCUUCAUAAUAUUUUUAAAAGUUCUUACUGCACUCUGGAAAGGAGUGCUCAUCAGAAACAAUCUUAAUCCGUCUUUUAUUUCUUGAAUAGUUCUCUUCCACUGAAAUGCCCUGGUGAGGUUAGUUGCUGCUCUUCCUUCUCUCCUCAAUCUGAGUAUUUUCCAUGUUGCUAAGUGAAAAUACUAUAGAUGUGUUUAAAAGACUGGAUGAUUUGCCUAUACUGUGUGGGAAAUUACCUCCUUAAUUACCCAGUGGAACUGUCAGCAGACUUGUUCAUUGGAUUAGAGUACUGCAGUUUUAGAUUAAUAAUUUGCAGACUUUUAUCUAAUGUGCACUCAUGUACAGAUUAUUAAAAGUUUAAAAAUAACUGAGUAAUCAGUAUUUGAUCAGUUAUUGUAUUGAUUUUUUUAUUAAAAUGUAUAUUUCUAAUCAUAUUUUUUAAAGCUGAGAGAACUGGUUGAAUGUUUAUUUUCAUGAAAGUAUUUUUAAGAUAAAGCUUCAUAAUGGCCUGUAAACUUUGCAUAUAUAUGUAGUUUGAUACAUAUUGUUGCAUUUGAAAAUCUUGUGUAUUAUAACUGGUUUUAUACAAAACACUGAAUAGUGGCAGUUGUGUAAUUACAAUUGUAAUUAAAAGUAUUAACUAAGCA
This is an RNA transcript of Heterocephalus glaber (naked mole-rat), 5352 nucleotides long. It is a transcript of the gene named cell division cycle 14B, with no coding region annotated. Lineage: Eukaryota; Metazoa; Chordata; Mammalia; Rodentia; Bathyergidae. The record is from RefSeq and is a predicted model, not a curated record.